UCCUCCCUCUGGCUUCGUGCUUAACACAUGCAAGUCGAACGGAAAGGCCCUGCUUUUGUGGGGUGCUCGAGUGGCGAACGGGUGAGUAACACGUGAGUAACCUGCCCUUGACUUUGGGAUAACUUCAGGAAACUGGGGCUAAUACCGGAUAGGAGCUCCUGCUGCAUGGUGGGGGUUGGAAAGUUUCGGCGGUUGGGGAUGGACUCGCGGCUUAUCAGCUUGUUGGUGGGGUAGUGGCUUACCAAGGCUUUGACGGGUAGCCGGCCUGAGAGGGUGACCGGCCACAUUGGGACUGAGAUACGGCCCAGACUCCUACGGGAGGCAGCAGUGGGGAAUAUUGCACAAUGGGCGGAAGCCUGAUGCAGCAACGCCGCGUGCGGGAUGACGGCCUUCGGAUUGUAAACCGCUUUCGCCUGUGACGAAGCGUGAGUGACGGUAAUGGGUAAAGAAGCACCGGCUAACUACGUG
RNAcentral lists this ribosomal RNA (468 nucleotides) under uncultured bacterium. RNAcentral's name for it is "partial 16S ribosomal RNA". It matches the Rfam family "Bacterial small subunit ribosomal RNA", at positions 36 to 507 of the family's 1533-position model. The record is from RNAcentral.